CGGGAUCCGUCCCGUUGGAAUGUGGCUGUAAUAACGUCAGCUGAACCGUGAA
This 52-nucleotide non-coding RNA is filed under the name unclassified sequences. The record is from Rfam.